CCUACGGGGGGCAGCAGUGGGGAAUAUUGCACAAUGGGGGAAACCCUGAUGCAGCAACGCCGCGUGAGUGAAGAAGUAUUUCGGUAUGUAAAGCUCUAUCAGCAGGGAAGAAGAUGACGGUACCUGAUUAAGAAGCCCCGGCUAACUACGUGCCAGCAGCCGCGGUAAUACGUAGGGGGCAAGCGUUAUCCGGAUUUACUGGGUGUAAAGGGAGCGUAGACGGCAGCGCAAGUCUGGAGUGAAAUGCCGGGGCUCAACCCCGGAACUGCUUUGGAAACUGUGCAGCUAGGGGGCGGGAGAGGUAA
This 305-nucleotide ribosomal RNA is filed under the name uncultured bacterium. RNAcentral's name for it is "bacterial SSU rRNA". It matches the Rfam family "Bacterial small subunit ribosomal RNA", at positions 338 to 660 of the family's 1533-position model. The record is from RNAcentral.